This 234-nucleotide ribosomal RNA is filed under the name uncultured Lactobacillus sp. RNAcentral's name for it is "partial 16S ribosomal RNA". It matches the Rfam family "Bacterial small subunit ribosomal RNA", at positions 128 to 354 of the family's 1533-position model. The record is from RNAcentral. Lineage: Bacteria; Bacillati; Bacillota; Bacilli; Lactobacillales; Lactobacillaceae.
GCCCAAGAGAUCGGGAUAACACCUGGAAACAGAUGCUAAUACCGGAUAAUAACAGAUGAUGCCUAUCAACUGUUUAAAAGAUGGUUCUGCUAUCACUCUUGGAUGGACCUGCGGUGCAUUAGCUAGUUGGUAGGGUAACGGCCUACCAAGGCGAUGAUGCAUAGCCGAGUUGAGAGACUGAUCGGCCACAUUGGGACUGAGACACGGCCCAAACUCCUACGGGAGGCAGCAGGU